AUACGGAGGGUGCAAGCGUUAAUCGGAAUUACUGGGCGUAAAGCGCGCGUAGGCGGCUUGUUAAGUCGGAUGUGAAAGCCCCGGGCUCAACCUGGGAAUUGCAUUCGAUACUGCUUGACUAGAGUAUGGUAGAGGGAAGUGGAAUUUCCGGUGUAGCGGUGAAAUGCGUAGAUAUCGGAAGGAACACCAGUGGCGAAGGCGACUUCCUGGGCCAAUACUGACGCUAAGGUGCGAAAGCGUGGGGAGCAAACAGGAUUAGAAACCCCGGUAGUCC
Molecule: ribosomal RNA, 274 nt
Filed under: uncultured bacterium
Lineage: Bacteria
Description: partial 16S ribosomal RNA
Rfam family: Bacterial small subunit ribosomal RNA
Source: RNAcentral